GACGAACGCUGGCGGCGUGCCUAAUACAUGCAAGUAGAACGCUGAAGGAGGAGCUUGCUUCUCUGGAUGAGUUGCGAACGGGUGAGUAACGCGUAGGUAACCUGCCUGGUAGCGGGGGAUAACUAUUGGAAACGAUAGCUAAUACCGCAUAAUGGUAGAUGUUGCAUGACAUUUGCUUAAAAGGUGCAAUUGCAUCACUACCAGAUGGACCUGCGUUGUAUUAGCUAGUUGGUGGGGUAACGGCUCACCAAGGCGACGAUACAUAGCCGACCUGAGAGGGUGAUCGGCCACACUGGGACUGAGACACGGCCCAGACUCCUACGGGAGGCAGCAGUAGGGAAUCUUCGGCAAUGGACGGAAGUCUGACCGAGCAACGCCGCGUGAGUGAAGAAGGUUUUCGGAUCGUAAAGCUCUGUUGUAAGAGAAGAACGAGUGUGAGAGUGGAAAGUUCACACUGUGACGGUAUCUUACCAGAAAGGGACGGCUAACUACGUG
Molecule: ribosomal RNA, 495 nt
Filed under: uncultured bacterium
Lineage: Bacteria
Description: partial 16S ribosomal RNA
Rfam family: Bacterial small subunit ribosomal RNA
Source: RNAcentral